UUCUGCUUGAUAUUAAAUUUUUAUUGGAUUAGCAGUAUGCCCUGCUCAGUGCAUUGAAGGUGUAAAUAGCCGCAGUAUUCUGACUGUGCUAAGGUAGCGUAAUUUUCGCGUCUAUUAAUUGUAGACUUUGUGAAUGGGUUAACGAUGGUUUAGCUGUCUUUUUUUUAUUGGUUUGAACUUUGUUUUUGGAUUAAGAAAUCUAAAUGUCUCUGAAAGACGAUAAGACCCCGUGAAGCUUUAUUUUGAGCUUUGUUUUUUGAUUAUGUGAAAUUUAGUUGGGAUAACUGGUUACCAUAAAAAGAGUAACUAGAUUCUUUAAAGAUGUAGGAAUGUUGAUUGUUUGGAAAUGAGCCAUUGUUUUUUGAUUUAUAGCUAAAGUUACUCCGGGGAUAACAGAAUGUUUUUUCUUUUAAGAUCUUAUUUUAAGAAGAGAUUAUUACCUCGAUGUUGGCUUAGAAU
This 459-nucleotide ribosomal RNA is filed under the name Astarte sulcata. Its description in RNAcentral is "partial 16S ribosomal RNA". It matches the Rfam family "Bacterial large subunit ribosomal RNA", at positions 1816 to 2543 of the family's 2925-position model. The record is from RNAcentral. Lineage: Eukaryota; Metazoa; Mollusca; Bivalvia; Carditida; Astartidae.